UAAGGCUGGCAUGUUGACCUGCGAAUGGUUAAGGGCACAGGCAUAAGAUACGUUGACAACCAGGACAACCUCCAUUCUUACACCGGGAAAAGAAUCUUCAGCAGCUCAGGUCACAAACUUGCCCGAUGAAGGAUGCAAGGAGCAUCAGACUUCUCCUUUGUCUUGAGACACUGCAAGAGAGGAGAUCCCACAGAGAAAUAAAAAAC
Molecule: long non-coding RNA, 206 nt
Organism: Lontra canadensis (Northern American river otter)
Lineage: Eukaryota; Metazoa; Chordata; Mammalia; Carnivora; Mustelidae
Exons: 3
Source: RefSeq, a predicted model, not a curated record